CUACGGGUGGCAGCAGUAGGGAAUAUUGGACAAUGGGCGCAAGCCUGAUCCAGCAAUGCCGCGUGAGUGAUGAAGGCCUUAGGGUUGUAAAGCUCUUUUACCAGAGAUGAUAAUGACAGUAUCUGGGGAAUAAGCCCCGGCUAACUCCGUGCCAGCAGCCGCGGUAAUACGGAGGGGGCUAGCGUUGUUCGGAAUUACUGGGCGUAAAGCGCACGUAGGCGGCGAUUUAAGUCAGAGGUGAAAGCCCGGGGCUCAACCCCGGAACUGCCUUUGAGACUGGAUUGCUUGAAUCCGGGAGAGGUGAGUGGAAUUCCGAGUGUAGAGGUGAAAUUCGUAGAUAUUCGGAAGAACACCAGUGGCGAAGGCGGCUCACUGGACCGGCAUUGACGCUGAGGUGCGAAAGCGUGGGGAGCAAACAGGAUUAGAUACCCUCGUAGUC
This 439-nucleotide ribosomal RNA is filed under the name uncultured bacterium. RNAcentral's name for it is "partial 16S ribosomal RNA". It matches the Rfam family "Bacterial small subunit ribosomal RNA", at positions 339 to 795 of the family's 1533-position model. The record is from RNAcentral.